AUGNNNNNNNNNNNNNNNNNNNNNNNNNNUCCUUCCUCAGCCGGACGCUCUUGGGCUUCAGUUGUUGCCCCCGCAACAAACGCCCAAGCUCCAGAGUGUGUGAUGUCUUCUAAAGAUCCUGGUGAAGGUUGUGAUGGUUAUGAUGUUGUGGCAAGGUCCGCUGACGCUUUGCUUGCACCUUUUACCGCUGAGCUGCAAUCCAUGGUGGCGAAGGCGUUUCGCCCUUUGAGCUUGUUGGUGGCCCGUGCAACCAGCUUAUUGGAGCAGGCGGAGGUCUCCAAUGGUGACAAGGGGUCGAUCCAACCCUCUUUGCAGGGACCCUGCUUCUCUGACUCGAACACUCAUGGCUCGAUGUUGACUGCAUUGGCGCCAUUGGUGGAAAAAGAUGGGGACCAAGGUGUUGAGGGCAGCAUGACCACUGAGUGUAGCGUGGCCAUUUCUACCACGGGCGAAGUGAGGGAUGUUGCUGAGGGAUGUGCCUUGGCGACUGAGAGCGAGGGCACUUUGCAUGACUUCGCCGAGCUGCUCACAGGUCUGACUCCAAUCAUCCAAGGUUUGUGUCGCCUGGUCAAUGCGAAGAAGAUCAAGAAGGUCAACCAGCGGAUCAGUGCCCCCUUGGGGGACAACCCUGCAGGAUGUUAG
Molecule: ribosomal RNA, 642 nt
Filed under: Triticum aestivum (bread wheat)
Lineage: Eukaryota; Viridiplantae; Streptophyta; Magnoliopsida; Poales; Poaceae
Description: partial small subunit ribosomal RNA
Source: RNAcentral